RNAcentral lists this ribosomal RNA (328 nucleotides) under uncultured eukaryote. RNAcentral describes it as "partial 18S ribosomal RNA". It matches the Rfam family "Eukaryotic small subunit ribosomal RNA", at positions 1470 to 1796 of the family's 1831-position model. The record is from RNAcentral.
CCCUUAGAUGUUCUGGGCUGCACGCGCGCUACACUGAUGCGCUCAACGAGUUUAUGACCUUGCCCGGAAGGGUUGGGUAAUCUUUUCAAAACGCAUCGUGAUGGGGAUAGAUUAUUGCAAUUAUUAAUCUUCAACGAGGAAUGCCUAGUAGGCGCAAGUCAUCAGCUUGCGUCGAUUACGUCCCUGCCCUUUGUACACACCGCCCGUCGCUCCUACCGAUUGGGUGUGCUGGUGAAAUGUUCGGAUCGGCCGUUUGUCGCGGUUUCCGCGGCUCGUGGCUGAGAAGUUCAUUAAACCCUCCCACCUAGAGGAAGGAGAAGUCGUAACA